Molecule: RNA transcript, 1993 nt
Organism: Neopsephotus bourkii (Bourke's parrot)
Lineage: Eukaryota; Metazoa; Chordata; Aves; Psittaciformes; Psittacidae
Gene: CCDC90B
Gene name: coiled-coil domain containing 90B
Exons: 10
Source: RefSeq, a predicted model, not a curated record
CUUUUGCUGCAAUGAAGGGAGCUUGGUAUGGGGCCGCGCUCCUCGGCCGGGCCUUGCGGCCUCCGGGUGCGCGGAGAGGUUUUGCUGCCACGCUGGUUAGGAACUCAUACGAUGUCAGAAAUGUUGAACUCACUCCCCCGGAGCAGAGGAAGGUGACUUUUGAUACUCACGCUUUAGUGCAGGAUCUGGAAGCCCAUGGCUUUGGGAAGGAACAAGCAGAGACCAUCUUGAGGACGUUAGUAAACCUGUCGAAUGUCAGCUUGGACACAGUCUAUAAAGAUAUGGUUACCCAGACUCAGCAGGAAAUAACUUUGAAGCAGAUAAUGGCACAUCUGGACUCCAUUCGAAAAGACAUGGUCAUCCUGGAGAAAAGUGAAUUUGCAAACUUGAGAGCUGAGAAUGAGAAAAUGAAAAUCGAAUUAGAUCAAGUCAAACAGCAGCUGUUGAAUGAAACGGGUAAGAUCCGAACUGACAGCAAGCUGGACAUCAACCUGGAGAGGAGCAGAGUGACGGAUAUGUUCACAGAUCAGGAGAGGAAGUUGAUGGAAGUGACAACAGAGUUUCAUAAAAAAGAUGCCAGUACCAACAGUGUUAUCUCAGAAAUCAGUAAUAAGAUUGACACUGAAAUAGCUUCCUUAAAAACACUCAUGGAAUCAAAUAAACUUGACACAAUACGUUAUUUGGCAGGUUCUGGAAGUAGAUCCACAUGGAAUGACUGCAUCACAGAGAUGGAGAAAAGGCUACACAGGCAGGAUCAGUUGGACAGUGGUGUUUGCGCUGUAGAUAACCUCGGUACCUUUUUGUUUUUAUACCCGUAUUGUGCACUAUUUGCUGACUGUGUAAUGCUAAAGAUCAAAGUAACUGGGAGGGAAGUAGCCAAACAGGAAUACUACAUUGUCCUUCAUGGAAUACUCUAUUUCCAAGGAUGACUUAUGCUAAAGCAGAAAGUGUUUCCUGAUGUGUUUUAGGAUGAAUUUUGUUUUCUUUUUGGAACAUUCUCAGUGGAACAUUCUCACUCUCACCUCUUCUUAGAAUGGAAAUACUAAACAUUUGAUCUGCCCUUGAACUGAGAAUACCUUUCCCAUGUUAGUAUUCCCAGUAUGGGAACACUAAUGCCAGAUUCCACAGAUCUACUCUGAUCCAAGUAUAAAUUGGAUUUUUGCCUUCAGUCUGUUCCUCUCUUCUGACAGAUUGAAGCCUGGCCCUUUCAGUUUUUUAAUGUAUGUAUAUAUAUGUAUAUACAAACCCACACUGCAAUGGCCUUUACUAGAGAAUCCUUGUUUUUUUCUUGAAAACUGGUUUACAUAUAUUUCAAACGUCAUGUAGAACUAAAAUACCUUCAUAGAUUUGGGGUUUCUUUAGAGCCUCUUCCAAUUCCCAUAACCCCAGAGGUCAACAGAAUGGGAGAACUUCUCUGUGUCUUUCUAAGGGGAAACCCCUCUGCUCACAGCAGCUCCAAGGCAGAUUAAGUGUUCUUAACUCCUCCCUUCAGGUAGCACAGAGUAUUUCCAGUAAACCCUGGUGUGUGUUCUGGGCAUAGGAUCUGGCUUGUAACAUGGAAAUACUCAGCAUCCCAGUGGUGUCCUCCUCCUCCCAUCUCCUCCAGACUGUCCUGUGAUCCCAUGGGAUGUGCUGCCUCUCCUCCCUCCUGGUGAUGAUUCCUCUGCCUCCUACAAGGACUUCACACCUGUCACUGCAGAGCUGGGGCAUAGCUGGUGGCUGCCUUCCAAAACUGAAAUCCUGCAUCUGGAGUGCAAAUGCGUGGGCUUGGUUUGGUUCUGCUAAUAAAACAGGAUUUAAAACCCAGCAUUCCUGGAUUGUACUUUUAAGAGUAGGUCCUUUAUGGGUGACACAGUGUGUAGUGCUGAUUGGUGGCAAUUCAUUUUUAUUGCAGUAUUAGUCUGCAGUUUAAGUCGCUGGUACCCUACCAAGGCUUCUCUGCUGUGCAUUAAGUUAUUAUCUUCAGUUAAGAAAAUAAAAUCAGUUUCUUGUA